RNAcentral lists this ribosomal RNA (497 nucleotides) under uncultured bacterium. Its description in RNAcentral is "partial 16S ribosomal RNA". It matches the Rfam family "Bacterial small subunit ribosomal RNA", at positions 28 to 507 of the family's 1533-position model. The record is from RNAcentral.
GAUGAACGCUGGCGGCGUGCCUAAUACAUGCAAGUCGAGCGAACAGACGAGGAGCUUGCUCCUCUGACGUUAGCGGCGGACGGGUGAGUAACACGUGGAUAACCUACCUAUAAGACUGGGAUAACUUCGGGAAACCGGAGCUAAUACCGGAUAAUAUAUUGAACCGCAUGGUUCAAUAGUGAAAGACGGUUUUGCUGUCACUUAUAGAUGGAUCCGCGCCGCAUUAGCUAGUUGGUAAGGUAACGGCUUACCAAGGCAACGAUGCGUAGCCGACCUGAGAGGGUGAUCGGCCACACGGGAACUGAGACACGGUCCAGACUCCUACGGGAGGCACCAGUAGGGAAUCUUCCGCAAUGGGGGAAGGCCUGACGGAGCAACGCCGCGGGAGUGAUGAAGGUCUUCGGAUCGUAAAACUCUGUUAUUAGGGAAGAACAAAUGUGUAAGUAACUAUGCACGUCUUGACGGUACCUAAUCAGAAAGCCACGGCUAACUACGUG